This 25-nucleotide unclassified non-coding RNA is filed under the name Trypanosoma brucei. RNAcentral's name for it is "trans-spliced leader". Lineage: Eukaryota; Euglenozoa; Kinetoplastea; Trypanosomatida; Trypanosomatidae. The record is from RNAcentral.
UUCGGCACGAGUCUGUACUAUAUUG